Molecule: ribosomal RNA, 484 nt
Filed under: uncultured bacterium
Lineage: Bacteria
Description: partial 16S ribosomal RNA
Rfam family: Bacterial small subunit ribosomal RNA
Source: RNAcentral
AUUGAACGCUGGCGGCAGGCCUAACACAUGCAAGUCGAGCGGAUGAAGGGAGCUUGCUCCUGGAUUCAGUGGCGGACGGGUGAGUAAUGCCUAGGAAUCUGCCUGGUAGUGGGGGAUAACGUCCGGAAACGGACGCUAAUACCGCAUACGUCCUGAGGGAGAAAGUGGGGGAUCUUCGGACCUCACGCUAUCAGAUGAGCCUAGGUCGGAUUAGCUAGUUGGUGGGGUAAAGGCCUACCAAGGCGACGAUCCGUAACUGGUCUGAGAGGAUGAUCAGUCACACUGGAACUGAGACACGGUCCAGACUCCUACGGGAGGCAGCAGUGGGGAAUAUUGGACAAUGGGCGAAAGCCUGAUCCAGCCAUGCCGCGUGUGUGAAGAAGGUCUUCGGAUUGUAAAGCACUUUAAGUUGGGAGGAAGGGCAGUAAGUUAAUACCUUGCUGUUUUGACGUUACCAACAGAAUAAGCACCGGCUAACUUCGUG